This 776-nucleotide ribosomal RNA is filed under the name uncultured Neocallimastigales. RNAcentral's name for it is "partial large subunit ribosomal RNA". It matches the Rfam family "Eukaryotic large subunit ribosomal RNA", at positions 23 to 645 of the family's 3401-position model. The record is from RNAcentral. Lineage: Eukaryota; Fungi; Neocallimastigomycota; Neocallimastigomycetes; Neocallimastigales.
AGACUCUGUGCGCGUGCAUAUCAAUAAGCGGAGGAAAAGAAACUAACAAGGAUUCCCUUAGUAACGGCGAGUGAAGCGGGAAGAGCUCAAAUUUGAAAUCUUCAAGGGUUUACCUUUACGAAUUGUAGUUUAAAGAAGUGUUUUCUGUUGGAGUUUUGGUAAAAGUUCUUUGGAAUAGGACAUCAUAGAGGGUGAGAAUCCCGUAUUUGUACAGUUCCUCCUAGCUGUUGUGAUACACUUUCAACGAGUCGGAUUGUUUGGGAAUGCAGUCCAAAAUGGGUGGUAAAUUUCAUCUAAAGCUAAAUAUUGGCGAGAGACCGAUAGCGAACAAGUACCGUGAGGGAAAGAUGAAAAGAACUUUGAAAAGAGAGUUAAACAGUACGUGAAAUUGUCAAAAGGGAAGCGUUUGACACCAGUGUUGUUUAGUUCGAAAAUCAAUUACUAAUUUUUGAUUUUAAGUAGUUAUGACUUCAUCAGCUUGCUGCUUUCUUCUCAGAAAAUUAUUGAAUGCACUUUUCAGUUAACAAGUCAACAUCAAUUUCUUUUGUUGUAAAAGGGUAAGAGGAAGGUGGCUUGCGCUUCGGCUCAAGUGUUUAUAGCCUUUUAUCUCUGCAAUCGGAGAGAUUGAGGUCUGCAGCGUAGAUCCUUCGGGGUUAGAUACACUUGUGCUAAGCUAUAGCCUUGUAUAGACAACUUGUUGACUAUGCUCAGUCAUGUAGCUUACUCGCUGAUGCUAUUUUACCUACGCUUAGGAUGUUGAAGUCAUCGUAUCGCGC